UGUUUGGCUUGACCGGGGUGCUUGGCGUGCCCUAUACCCGAAAUCGUCAAUACGCGGGGGUGACAGCAGCGGGCGGGCCCGUUGAUGUCCUUGAGCCCAUCAAGCAACUAUGAAAUCUUGUCCUGUAGAGUCGGAGUUUGUCUUAGAAACGGCCGGAGGGUCGUUCUCCAGGCAUUAAUCGGGGGAACCGGGUCAGGUCCUGACGGGAGCAGCCUUACUUCGAACCACUGACGUUUACGGGAUCGCAGGGUUGAGGCGCGAAAUGGUCAACUUGGGGACGGAUGCGAGAACAACCGCUGUGGCCAGACA
RNAcentral lists this signal recognition particle RNA (309 nucleotides) under Thermoplasmata archaeon. Its description in RNAcentral is "signal recognition particle sRNA". It matches the Rfam family "Archaeal signal recognition particle RNA". Lineage: Archaea; Methanobacteriati; Thermoplasmatota; Thermoplasmata. The record is from RNAcentral.